AUUGAACGCUGGCGGCAUGCCUUACACAUGCAAGUCGAACGGUAACGCGGGGCAACCUGGCGACGAGUGGCGAACGGGUGAGUAAUGCAUCGGAACGUGCCCAGUAGUGGGGGAUAGCCCGGCGAAAGCCGGAUUAAUACCGCAUACGACCUACGGGUGAAAGGGGGGGACCGCAAGACCUCUCGCUAUUGGAGCGGCCGAUGUCAGAUUAGGUAGUUGGUGGGGUUAAGGCCCACCAAGCCUUCGAUCUGUAGCUGGUCUGAGGGGACGACCAGCAGCACUGGGAGUGAGACACGGCCCAGACUCCUACGGGAGGCAGCAGUGGGGAAUUUUGGACAAUGGGCGCAAGCCUGAUCCAGCCAUGCCGCGUGCGGGAAGAAGGCCUUCGGGUUGUAAACCGCUUUUGUCAGGGAAGAAACGCUCUGGGCUAAUACCUCGGGGUAAUGACGGUACCUGAAGAAUAAGCACCGGCUAACUACGUGCCAGCCGCCGCGGUAA
This 498-nucleotide ribosomal RNA is filed under the name uncultured bacterium. RNAcentral describes it as "partial 16S ribosomal RNA". It matches the Rfam family "Bacterial small subunit ribosomal RNA", at positions 29 to 523 of the family's 1533-position model. The record is from RNAcentral.